UAGGGUGACAUUUGCGACGUUGAACCACCUUGUUCCAUUCCGAACCAAGUAGUGAAAGACGUCAGCGCCGAUGAUACUCUGGCAAUAUGCCAGCGGGAAAGUAGGUCGUUGCCUCCU
This 117-nucleotide ribosomal RNA is filed under the name bacterium. The record is from RNAcentral.